This is a long non-coding RNA of Daktulosphaira vitifoliae (grape phylloxera), 623 nucleotides long. RefSeq lists it as uncharacterized. The transcript is spliced from 3 exons. Lineage: Eukaryota; Metazoa; Arthropoda; Insecta; Hemiptera; Phylloxeridae. The record is from RefSeq and is a predicted model, not a curated record.
AAAAACUCCAGCAACACGUGUUACCGUGAAUUUCGGGUCGUGCGUAAAAAAAAUUGAUUUGCGGUGGUUGGGCAUUGACGUUUUACGAAAAACACUGAACAGAUUUUUGUAAAAGCGAACGCGGACCUCGGAUGGCGAGUGUCUUAGGGUUCGGCUAAAUAAGUGAAUAGCCCUAUUCGAUCGCACCACAGAAAAAGUCGACAAAAAUCGGCGGCGGCGUCUGAUCGAAUUCGUUUCAAAUGCUGACGACUCUCGGAGAUUAUAAAGCGACGGAGUCCAAAGUCCGACCUGGGAGUGGCAAAGAAUUCCCGGCCUGAAAAACCUUUUAGCGCCACAUCACAGUUACAAUGGUGUCGGCGAAAAUGAAGGUCGUGUACAAAAACAGCACAGUCUUCAAUGUGUGCGUCCCAAAGCAGCACACGUCGAAAAGGCGCAAUGCGCCAAAGAAACGGAAAAAUAUGAAAAAGCGCAAGGGUCCGAAACUGUGCUGGAGGUGCAAGAGUAGUGCGCACCUCAAUGUCGAAUGCCCGAAACGUAAAACAGCAGCAACACAACAACCAUCACCACCAAUACCCCAAUCGACGUCGCCAACAACGGUGACCCAAACGCCGACGGAAUUGGCG